This 74-nucleotide transfer RNA is filed under the name Strongylocentrotus purpuratus (purple sea urchin). RNAcentral describes it as "tRNA-Asn". It matches the Rfam family "tRNA". Rfam says of the family: Transfer RNA (tRNA) molecules are approximately 80 nucleotides in length. The record is from Rfam by way of RNAcentral. Lineage: Eukaryota; Metazoa; Echinodermata; Echinoidea; Camarodonta; Strongylocentrotidae.
GCUUCUGUGGCGAAAUUGGUUAGCGCGUUCGGCUGUUAACCGAAAGGUUGGUGGUUCAAGCCCACCCAGGAGUG